CCUACGGGAGGCAGCAGUAGGGAAUAUUGCUCAAUGGGGGAAACCCUGACGCAGCAACGCCGCGUGGAGGAUGAAGGUUUUCGGAUUGUAAACUCCUUUUGUUAGAGAAGAUAAUGACGGUAUCUAACGAAUAAGCACCUGCUAACUCCGUGCCAGCAGCCGCGGUAAUACGGAGGGUGCAAGCGUUACUCGGAAUCACUGGGCGUAAAGAGCGCGUGGGCGGUGUAGCAAGUCUGAUGUGAAAUCCUAUGGCUUAACCAUAGAACUUCAUUUGAAACUGUUAUUCUUGAGUAUGGGAGAGGUAAGUGGAAUUCCUGGUGUAGGGGUAAAAUCCGCAGGGAUAAAGAGGAAUA
Molecule: ribosomal RNA, 353 nt
Filed under: uncultured bacterium
Lineage: Bacteria
Description: partial 16S ribosomal RNA
Rfam family: Bacterial small subunit ribosomal RNA
Source: RNAcentral